CAGAUCAGACAGGGUCUCUCCGUUGCCGUUUGUGGAAGGCCAGGCGACACGUCGCCACGCCCGUCUUGACAAAUACAGACAGGGCACGCACGCGCCGCCAUACCGACAGUUCCGUCUCAAACUCUCUACCUGCUCCGCUGCCCACACGGCACACGAGCUGUCAGCUAUAUACUCCAUCGCACGUCCAACCCCAGGGAAACACCCAUCCAAGAUACCGACGAGCAGGCCAGAGCGAAGGAAUGGACUCCAUGGCCAGCGACGACAGCAACCAAGGAGCAGCAGCCAAGCCGAAGCCGAAGCCACCACCGCUACCGCUGUCCGUGCGCCUCCAGCUGGCCGGGCUGACAGCGGCCAUCGACGCCGUGGAGCGCCGCGACGGGACGGUGAACCGCUGCCUGUACGGCGUGAUCGACCGGCUCCUGAGCGCGCGCGCCAGCCCGCGCCCGGACGCCUCCGGGGUGCGCUCCUACGACGUGACCAUGGACGCGUCCCGCGGCAUCUGGGCGCGCGUCUUCGCGCCGGCCGCGGCGGACCGCCCGCUCCCCGUGGUGGUGUACUUCCACGGCGGCGGCUUCGCGCUCUUCUCCCCGGCCAUCGGGCCCUUCAACGGCGUGUGCCGCCGCCUCUGCGCCGCGCUCGGCGCCGUCGUGGUGUCCGUCAACUACCGCCUGGCCCCGGAGCACCGCUGGCCCGCCGCCUACGACGACGGCGUCGACGCGCUGCGCUUCCUCGACGCCCGCGGCGGCGUCCCGGGCCUGGACGACGGCGUGCCCGUCGACCUCGGCACCUGCUUCCUGGCCGGGGAGAGCGCGGGCGGAAACAUCGUGCACCACGUCGCCAACCGCUGGGCGGCGGCGUGGCAGCCGUCCGCGCGGGCCCUCCGCGUCGCGGGCGUCUUCCCCGUGCAGCCCUACUUCGGCGGCGUGGAGCGCACGCCGUCGGAGCUGGAGCUAGAGGGCGUGGCGCCCGUGGUCAACCUCAGGCGCUCCGACUUCUCGUGGACCGCGUUCCUGCCCGACGGCGCCACCCGCGACCACCCGGCCGCGCACGUCACCGACGACAACGCCGACCUCGCCGACGACUUCCCGCCCGCCAUGGUCAUUAUCGGCGGCUUCGACCCGCUCAUGGACUGGCAGCGACGCUACGCCGACGUGCUGCGCCGGAAGGGGAAGGAGGUGCUGGUGGCCGAGUACCCAGGCAUGUUCCACGGCUUCUACGGCUUCCCGGAGCUCCCCGAGGCUACCAAGGUGCUGCAGGAUAUGAAGGCCUUCGUCGACAGCCACAUACCCACGCCCAAGCUCGCCGACGCGUGAUGCACGAACACCAUCCCAUUCCAUUCUAGUGUCAUGAGUCAUGACUGCUUGGUUCAUCUAUCUGCUGUCAAAAUAUAUACUUCCUAUAUAUUAAAGCAGGGCGCAAAGCUUCCAUCUGGUGCGCCCACGUCAUUUGUGUUUUCUCUUCCUUCAACGUCUUUGAUUCAAGCGUGUCUCCGUGGGAAGCUUCCGGACGAAGCUCACACCCUUUUCAGCUACUCGCUCGAAACCCAAGCGUCGCUGCAUGCUUCCCACCCCUCCUCGCCCAUGUAGAUAUACAUAGUGUAGCAAUAAACAAUAAAAAGUUUGUUUGGAAAAAAGAAAAUAAUAAAAAUAUAUUUUGUCGAG
RNAcentral lists this unclassified non-coding RNA (1661 nucleotides) under Zea mays. Its description in RNAcentral is "misc RNA Zm00001eb329180". The record is from RNAcentral. Lineage: Eukaryota; Viridiplantae; Streptophyta; Magnoliopsida; Poales; Poaceae.